This is an unclassified non-coding RNA of Vicugna pacos (alpaca), 92 nucleotides long. It matches the Rfam family "Y RNA". From Rfam's summary of the family: Y RNAs are components of the Ro ribonucleoprotein particle (Ro RNP), in association with Ro60 and La proteins. The record is from Ensembl. Lineage: Eukaryota; Metazoa; Chordata; Mammalia; Artiodactyla; Camelidae.
AAAAAAUAAAAUUCAAGUGGUGUUUACAACUAACUGCUCACAGUUACAGAUGUCUUUGUUCCUUCUCCACUCCCAAUGCUUCACUUGACUAA